RNAcentral lists this ribosomal RNA (253 nucleotides) under uncultured bacterium. Its description in RNAcentral is "partial 16S ribosomal RNA". It matches the Rfam family "Bacterial small subunit ribosomal RNA", at positions 524 to 776 of the family's 1533-position model. The record is from RNAcentral.
UACGUAGGGUGCGAGCGUUAAUCGGAAUUACUGGGCGUAAAGCGUGCGCAGGCGGUUCGCUGUGUCCGAUGUGAAAGCCCCGGGCUUAACCUGGGAACUGCGGUUGAAACUACAGGACUAGAAUCUGGCAGAGGGGGGUGGAAUUCCACGUGUAGCAGUGAAAUGCGUAGAGAUGUGGAGGAACACCGAUGGCGAAGGCAGCUCCCUGGGCUGAGAUUGACGCUCAGGCACGAAAGCGUGGGGAGCAAACAGG